RNAcentral lists this ribosomal RNA (439 nucleotides) under uncultured bacterium. RNAcentral's name for it is "bacterial SSU rRNA". It matches the Rfam family "Bacterial small subunit ribosomal RNA", at positions 355 to 786 of the family's 1533-position model. The record is from RNAcentral.
GGGGGAAUAUUGCGCAAUGGGCGAAAGCCUGACGCAGCGACGCCGCGUGAGGGAUGAAGGUCUUCGGAUCGUAAACCUCUGUCAGCAGGGAAGAAAUUUUAGUGUGCUAAUCAGCAUUAAAUUGACGGUACCUGCAAAGGAAGCACCGGCUAACUCCGUGCCAGCAGCCGCGGUAAUACGGAGGGUGCGAGCGUUAAUCGGAAUUACUGGGCGUAAAGCGCUCGUAGGUGGUAUGUCAAGUCAAGGGUGAAAUCCCCGCGCUCAACGUGGGAACUGCCUUUGAAACUGGCAGACUGGAGUGUGUGAGAGGAUAGUGGAAUUCCAGGUGUAGGAGUGAAAUCCGUAGAUAUCUGGAGGAACAUCAGUGGCGAAGGCGACUAUCUGGCACAUAACUGACACUGAGGAGCGAAAGCGUGGGUAGCAAACAGGAUUAGAUACC